GCAAUCUCGGAAUGCAUCUGGGGGAGACGCGCUGUGACCAUUCAAGCUGAUUGUGACACAGCGUAGGGUAGGUACUGAUUAAGAUAUUAAUCAGUAGACGGGAUACUAAUGCCGAACAUUGGCAUGUUAAUGGGAAACCCAACA
RNAcentral lists this non-coding RNA (144 nucleotides) under Vibrio hippocampi. RNAcentral's name for it is "DABA-DC-AT". It matches the Rfam family "DABA-DC-AT RNA". Lineage: Bacteria; Pseudomonadati; Pseudomonadota; Gammaproteobacteria; Vibrionales; Vibrionaceae. The record is from RNAcentral.